UGCGAGUCGAGCGCGAUAGGGGCAACCCUUAGUAGAGCGGCGCACGGGUGCGUAACACGUGGAUAAUCUGCCUGAGUGCUCGGGAUAACCUGUCGAAAGAUUGGCUAAUACCGGAUAAGCCCACGGUUUCUUCGGAGACUGAGGGAAAAGGUGGCCUCUGUAUACAAGCUAUCACAUUCAGAUGAGUCCGCGGCCCAUCAGCUAGUUGGCGGGGUAAUGGCCCACCAAGGCAACGACGGGUAGCUGGUCUGAGAGGACGAUCAGCCACACUGGAACUGAGACACGGUCCAGACUCCUACGGGAGGCAGCAGUGGGGAAUUUUGCGCAAUGGGCGAAAGCCUGACGCAGCAACGCCGCGUGUGUGAUGAAGGUCUUUGGAUUGUAAAGCACUUUCGACCGGGAAGAAAACCCGUUGGCUAACAUCCAACGGCUUGACGGUACCGGGAGAAGAAGCACCGGCUAACUCUGUGCCAGCAGCCGCGGUAAUACAGAGGGUGCAAGCGUUGUUCGGAAUUAUUGGGCGUAAAGCGCGUGUAGGCGGCGUGACAAGUCGGGUGUGAAAGCCCUCAGCUCAACUGAGGAAGUGCGCCCGAAACUGUUGUGCUUGAGUGCCGGAGAGGGUGGCGGAAUUCCCCAAGUAGAGGUGAAAUU
Molecule: ribosomal RNA, 651 nt
Filed under: Myxococcus sp.
Lineage: Bacteria; Pseudomonadati; Myxococcota; Myxococcia; Myxococcales; Myxococcaceae
Description: bacterial SSU rRNA
Rfam family: Bacterial small subunit ribosomal RNA
Source: RNAcentral